UACGUAGGGGGCAAGCGUUGUCCGGAUUUAUUGGGCGUAAAGAGCGUGUAGGCGGCCACACAGGUCUGCUGUGAAAACUCGAGGCUCAACCUCGAGACGCCGAUGGAAACCCCCUGGCUAGAGUCCGGAAGAGGAGAGUGGAAUUCCUGGUGUAGCGGUGAAAUGCGCAGAUAUCAGGAAGAACACCCGUGGCUAAGGCGGCUUUCUAGUACAGUACUGACGCUGAGACGCGAAAGCGUGGGGAGCGAACAGG
RNAcentral lists this ribosomal RNA (253 nucleotides) under uncultured bacterium. RNAcentral's name for it is "partial 16S ribosomal RNA". It matches the Rfam family "Bacterial small subunit ribosomal RNA", at positions 524 to 776 of the family's 1533-position model. The record is from RNAcentral.